Non-coding RNA from Trichonephila inaurata madagascariensis, 73 nucleotides. The record is from the annotation of a GenBank genome assembly. Lineage: Eukaryota; Metazoa; Arthropoda; Arachnida; Araneae; Nephilidae.
GUCCCUGUAGCGCAGUGGAUAGCGCUUAGAACUUCCAAUCCAAAGGUCGUGGUUUCGAAUACCACUAGGAAUG